RNAcentral lists this ribosomal RNA (253 nucleotides) under uncultured bacterium. RNAcentral's name for it is "partial 16S ribosomal RNA". It matches the Rfam family "Bacterial small subunit ribosomal RNA", at positions 524 to 776 of the family's 1533-position model. The record is from RNAcentral.
UACGUAGGGGGCGAGCGUUGUCCGGAUUUAUUGGGCGUAAAGAGCGUGUAGGCGGUUCGGUAAGUCUGUCGUGAAAUCCUGAGGCUCAACCUUGGACGUGCGAUGGAUACUGCCGGGCUAGAGGAUGGUAGAGGCGAGUGGAAUUCCCGGUGUAGCGGUGAAAUGCGCAGAUAUCGGGAGGAACACCAGUAGCGAAGGCGGCUCGCUGGGCCACAACUGACGCUGAGGCGCGAAAGCUAGGGGAGCAAACAGG